Gnomoniopsis sp. IMI 355080 is the source of this 88-nucleotide non-coding RNA. The record is from the annotation of a GenBank genome assembly. Lineage: Eukaryota; Fungi; Ascomycota; Sordariomycetes; Diaporthales; Gnomoniaceae.
GCCCCCGUAGCGCAAUCGGUAGCGCACCAGCCUUCUACCUCUUCUCCCUGAUAGCUGGGGGUUGCGAGUUCGAGCCUCGCCGGGGGUU